GGUCAAGCGAAUAAGCGCACACGGUGGAUGCCUUGGCGGUCAGAGGCGAUGAAGGACGUGGCAGCCUGCGAAAAGUAUCGGGGAGCUGGCAACAAGCUUUGAUCCGGUAAUGUCCGAAUGGGGAAACCCACCCGCUUGCGGGUAUCCUGCAGUGAAUACAUAGCUGCUGGAAGCGAACCUGGUGAACUGAAAUAUCUAAGUAACCAGAGGAAAAGAAAUCAACCGAGAUUCCGUAAGUAGCGACGAGCGAACGCGGACUAGCCCUUAAGCUGAUUUGGUUCUAGGAAAACGCUCUGGAAAGAGCGGCCAUAGAAGGUGAUAGCCCUGUAUCUGAAAGGGCCAUUCCAGUGAAGACGAGUAGGGCGGGGCACGUGAAACCCUGUCUGAACAUGGGGGGACCAUCCUCCAAGGCUAAAUACUACUGACCGACCGAUAGUGAACCAGUACCGUGAGGGAAAGGCGAAAAGAACCCCGGAGAGGGGAGUGAAAUAGAACCUGAAACCGUGUGCGUACAAGCAGUAGGAGCUCCGCAAGGAGUGACUGCGUACCUUUUGUAUAAUGGGUCAGCGACUUACUGUUCGUGGCAAGCUUAACCGUAUAGGGGAGGCGAAGGGAAACCGAGUCUGAUAAGGGCGCAUAGUCGCGGGCAGUAGACCCGAAACCGGGUGAUCUAGUCAUGCCCAGGGUGAAGGUGCGGUAACACGCACUGGAGGCCCGAACCCACUCCCGUUGCAAAGGUAGGGGAUGAGGUGUGAUUAGGAGUGAAAAGCUAAUCGAACCCGGAGAUAGCUGGUUCUCCUCGAAAGCUAUUUAGGUAGCGCCUCAUAUGUAUCCUCUCGGGGGUAGAGCACUGUUAUGGCUAGGGGGUCAUCGCGACUUACCAAACCAUUGCAAACUCCGAAUACCGAGACGGACUGUAUGGGAGACACACGGCGGGUGCUAACGUCCGUCGUGAAAAGGGAAACAACCCAGACCCACAGCUAAGGUCCCAAAUUCACUGCUAAGUGGAAAACCAUGUGGAAAGGCACAGACAGCCAGGAGGUUGGCUUAGAAGCAGCCACCCUUUAAAGAAAGCGUAAUAGCUCACUGGUCGAGUCGGUCUGCGGGGAAGAUUUAACGGGGCUAAGCAGUGAACCGAAGCUUGGGGUGCAUAACUUUGUUAUGCGCGGUAGAGGAGCGUUCCGUAAGCCGUUGAAGGUGGAUUGAGAAGUCUGCUGGAGGUAUCGGAAGUGCGAAUGCUGACAUGAGUAACGAUAAUGCGGGUGAAAAACCCGCACGCCGAAAGCCCAAGGUUUCCUUGCGCAACGUUAAUCGGCGCAGGGUGAGUCGGCCCCUAAGGCGAGGACGAAAGUCGUAGUCGAUGGGAAGCAGGUUAAUAUUCCUGCACCUCGCGUAAGUGCGAUGGAGGGACGGAGAAGGUUAGGUGUACCAGGCGUUGGUUGUCCUGGGGAAAGGCGGUAGGUUUGGAUCUUUGGCAAAUCCGGGAUCCUUUAAGACCGAGCACCGAGACGAGCCUUUAUGGCGAAGUCACUGAUACCACGCUUCCAGGAAAAGCUCCUAAGCUUCAGCUUACGCAGACCGUACCGUAAACCGACACAGGUGGGUAGGAUGAGAAUUCUCAGGCGCUUGAGAGAACUCGGGUGAAGGAACUAGGCAACAUGGCACCGUAACUUCGGGAGAAGGUGCACCCUUUUUGGUGGCUCGUGCGAGCUAUAGCUGAAGAGGGUCGCAGUAACCAGGCCGCUGCGACUGUUUAUCAAAAACACAGCACUCUGCAAACACGAAAGUGGACGUAUAGGGUGUGACGCCUGCCCGGUGCUGGAAGGUUAAUUGAUGGGGUCAGCCGCAAGGCGAAGCUCUUGAUCGAAGCCCCAGUAAACGGCGGCCGUAACUAUAACGGUCCUAAGGUAGCGAAAUUCCUUGUCGGGUAAGUUCCGACCUGCACGAAUGGCGUAACGACAGCGGCGCUGUCUCCACCCGAGACUCAGUGAAAUUGAAAUCGCUGUGAAGAUGCAGCGUUCCCGUGGCAAGACGGAAAGACCCCGUGAACCUUUACUAUAGCUUUACACUGAACGUUGAGUUCGUCUGUGUAGGAUAGGUGGGAGGCUAUGAAACUGUGGCGCUAGCUGCAGUGGAGCCAUCCUUGAAAUACCACCCUGUCGUGCUUGACGUUCUAACCUGGGCCCAUUAUCUGGGUCGGGGACCGUGUAUGGUGGGUAGUUUGACUGGGGCGGUCUCCUCCUAAAGAGUAACGGAGGAGCUCGAAGGUACGCUCAGCGCGGUCGGACAUCGCGCACUGUGUGCAAAGGCAUAAGCGUGCUUGACUGCAAGAUCGACGGAUCAAGCAGGUAGGAAACUAGGACUUAGUGAUCCGGUGGUUCUGUAUGGAAGGGCCAUCGCUCAACGGAUAAAAGGUACUCCGGGGAUAACAGGCUGAUACCGCCCAAGAGUUCAUAUCGACGGCGGUGUUUGGCACCUCGAUGUCGGCUCAUCACAUCCUGGGGCUGUAGUCGGUCCCAAGGGUAUGGCUGUUCGCCAUUUAAAGUGGUACGCGAGCUGGGUUCAGAACGUCGUGAGACAGUUCGGUCCCUAUCUGCCAUGGGCGUUGGAGAUUUGAGAGGGGCUGCUCCUAGUACGAGAGGACCGGAGUGGACGAACCUCUGGUGUUCCGGUUGUCACGCCAGUGGCAUUGCCGGGUAGCUAUGUUCGGAAGCGAUAACCGCUGAAAGCAUCUAAGCGGGAAGCGCGCCUCAAGAUGAGAUCUCCCGGGGCACAAGCCCCCUGAAGGAACCAUGUAGACUACGUGGUUGAUAGGUCAGGUGUGUAAGUACAGCAAUGUAUUGAGCUAACUGAUACUAAUGAUCCGUGCGGCUUGACCAU
Molecule: ribosomal RNA, 2880 nt
Filed under: Stenotrophomonas maltophilia
Lineage: Bacteria; Pseudomonadati; Pseudomonadota; Gammaproteobacteria; Lysobacterales; Lysobacteraceae
Description: 23S ribosomal RNA
Rfam family: Bacterial large subunit ribosomal RNA
Source: RNAcentral